This 406-nucleotide ribosomal RNA is filed under the name uncultured bacterium. RNAcentral describes it as "partial 16S ribosomal RNA". It matches the Rfam family "Bacterial small subunit ribosomal RNA", at positions 30 to 526 of the family's 1533-position model. The record is from RNAcentral.
AUUGAACGCUGGCGGCAGGCCUAACACAUGCAAGUCGAACGAGUGGCGGACGGGUGAGUAAUGUAUGGGAAACUGCCUGAUGGAGGGGGAUAACUACUGGAAACGGUAGCUAAUACCGCAUACCAUCGGAUGUGCCCAGGUGGGAUUAGCUAGUAGGUGGGGUAAAGGCUCACCUAGGCGACGAUCCCUAGCUGGUCUGAGAGGCUGAGCGGCCACACUGGGACUGAGACACGGCCCAGACUCCUACGGGAGGCAGCAGUUGGGAAUAUUGGACAAUGGGCGCAAGCCUGAUGCAGCCAUGCCGCGUGUAUGAAGAAGGCUUUCGGAUUGUAAAGUACUUUCAUCAGGGAAGCGGUACCUACAGAAGAAGCCCCGGCUAACUCCGUGCCAGCAGCCGCGGUAAUAC